AUACGUAGGUGGCAAGCGUUGUCCGGAAUUAUUGGGCGUAAAGCGCGCGCAGGUGGUUCCUUAAGUCUGAUGUGAAAGCCCCCGGCUCAACCGGGGAGGGUCAUUGGAAACUGGGGAACUUGAGUGCAGAAGAGGAUAGUGGAAUUCCAAGUGUAGCGGUGAAAUGCGUAGAGAUUUGGAGGAACACCAGUGGCGAAGGCGACUGUCUGGUCUGUAACUGACACUGAGGCGCGAAAGCGUGGGGAGCAAACAGGAUGAGAUACCCUGGUAGUCCACGCCGUAAACGAUGAGUGCUAAGUGUUGGGGGGUUUCCGCCCCUCAGUGCUGCAGCUAACGCAUUAAGCACUCCGCCUGGGGAGUACGGUCGCAAGACUGAAACUCAAAUGAAUUGACGGGG
Molecule: ribosomal RNA, 397 nt
Filed under: uncultured bacterium
Lineage: Bacteria
Description: partial 16S ribosomal RNA
Rfam family: Bacterial small subunit ribosomal RNA
Source: RNAcentral